Arachis ipaensis is the source of this 328-nucleotide non-coding RNA. NCBI's taxonomy places the organism in Eukaryota, Viridiplantae, Streptophyta, Magnoliopsida, Fabales, Fabaceae. The record is from RefSeq and is a predicted model, not a curated record.
CCCUGACAGAGACAUUUGAACGGAGGGACUGAUCCGUCCAAGUUUUGUGAAGGUUAGGGACUUAAAACUAUUUUUCAAUGGUCAGGGACAAAAAUGUUUACAGGACAAAAGGUCAGGGAUCUAUUUGUCCUUUUCUCUAAAAAGAGGGUUUAGUUACUAUUUAUAGAAGUUUUUAAUUUUUAGUAAACUAUAAUAAAUAUGUUAAAUAUUUAAACUUUGAAUGUUUUUCUUUUCGUAUAAGUUUUUUUUUUUUAUGACAUGGUAGUUUAAUUUAGUGGUGCCUUCUCUAGACAUAAUCUAUAUGUAUGAAAAUUUUCUUCUUACUGAA